This 83-nucleotide transfer RNA is filed under the name Aspergillus cristatus. It matches the Rfam family "tRNA". Rfam says of the family: Transfer RNA (tRNA) molecules are approximately 80 nucleotides in length. Their secondary structure includes four short double-helical elements and three loops (D, anti-codon, and T loops). The record is from Rfam by way of RNAcentral. Lineage: Eukaryota; Fungi; Ascomycota; Eurotiomycetes; Eurotiales; Aspergillaceae.
GACACUAUGGCCGAGUGGUCUAAGGCGGUAGAUUAGAAAUCUACUCUCUUCGGAGGGCGUCGGUUCGAGUCCGACUGGUGUCG